UCCAGGCCCUACGGGGCGCAGCAGGCGCGAAAACUUUGCAAUGCGGGAAACCGUGACAAGGGAACUCUGAGUGCCCGUAAAAUCGGGCUGUCCAUCGGUUUAAAUAACCGGUGAAGAAAGGGCCGGGCAAGACCGGUGCCAGCCGCCGCGGUAAUACCGGCGGCUCGAGUGGUGGCCACUAUUACUGGGCUUAAAGCGUU
This 200-nucleotide ribosomal RNA is filed under the name uncultured Methanogenium sp. RNAcentral's name for it is "partial 16S ribosomal RNA". It matches the Rfam family "Archaeal small subunit ribosomal RNA", at positions 315 to 519 of the family's 1478-position model. The record is from RNAcentral. Lineage: Archaea; Methanobacteriati; Methanobacteriota; Methanomicrobia; Methanomicrobiales; Methanomicrobiaceae.